This 301-nucleotide ribosomal RNA is filed under the name uncultured bacterium. RNAcentral's name for it is "partial 16S ribosomal RNA". It matches the Rfam family "Bacterial small subunit ribosomal RNA", at positions 509 to 809 of the family's 1533-position model. The record is from RNAcentral.
CAGUAGCCGCGGUAAUACGUAGGGUGCGAGCGUUAAUCGGAAUUACUGGGCGUAAAGCGUGCGCAGGCGGUUGUGUAAGACAGGUGUGAAAUCCCCGGGCUUAACCUGGGAACUGCGCUUAUGACUGCACAGCUAGAGUAUGGCAGAGGGGGGUGGAAUUCCACGUGUAGCAGUGAAAUGCGUAGAGAUGUGGAGGAACACCGAUGGCGAAGGCAGCCCCCUGGGCCAAUACUGACGCUCAUGCACGAAAGCGUGGGGAGCAAACAGGAUUAGAUACCCCUGUAGUCCCUGUCUCUUAUCC